GAUGAACGCUAGCUACAGGCUUAACACAUGCAAGUCGAGGGGCAGCAUUUCAGUUUGCUUGCAGACUGGAGAUGGCGACCGGCGCACGGGUGAGUAACACGUAUCCAACCUGCCGAUAACUCGGGGAUAGCCUUUCGAAAGAAAGAUUAAUACCCGAUGGCAUAAUUAGACCGCAUGGUCUUAUUAUUAAAGAAUUUCGGUUAUCGAUGGGGAUGCGUUCCAUUAGGCAGUUGGUGAGGUAACGGCUCACCAAACCUUCGAUGGAUAGGGGUUCUGAGAGGAAGGUCCCCCACAUUGGAACUGAGACACGGUCUAAACUCCUACGGGAGGCAGCAGUGAGGAAUAUUGGUCAAUGGGCGCAGGCCUGAACCAGCCAAGUAGCGUGAAGGAUGACUGCCCUAUGGGUUGUAAACUUCUUUUAUAUGGGAAUAAAGUUUUCCACGUGUGGAAUUUUGUAUGUACCAUAUGAAUAAGGAUCGGCUAACUCCGUGCCAGCAGCCGCGGUAAUACGGAGGAUCCGAGCGUUAUCCGGAUUUAUUGGGUUUAAAGGGAGCGUAGGUGGACAGUUAAGUCAGUUGUGAAAGUUUGCGGCUCAACCGUAAAAUUGCAGUUGAUACUGGCUGUCUUGAGUACAGUAGAGGUGGGCGGAAUUCGUGGUGUAGCGGUGAAAUGCUUAGAUAUCACGAAGAACUCCGAUUGCGAAGGCAGCUCACUGGACUGCAACUGACACUGAUGCUCGAAAGUGUGGGUAUCAAACAGGAUUAGAUACCCUGGUAGUCCACACAGUAAACGAUGAAUACUCGCUGUUUGCGAUAUACAGUAAGCGGCCAAGCGAAAGCAUUAAGUAUUCCACCUGGGGAGUACGCCGGCAACGGUGAAACUCAAAGGAAUUGACGGGGGCCCGCACAAGCGGAGGAACAUGUGGUUUAAUUCGAUGAUACGCGAGGAACCUUACCCGGGCUUAAAUUGCAUUUGAAUAUAUUGGAAACAGUAUAGCCGUAAGGCAAAUGUGAAGGUGCUGCAUGGUUGUCGUCAGCUCGUGCCGUGAGGUGUCGGCUUAAGUGCCAUAACGAGCGCAACCCUUAUCUUUAGUUACUAACAGGUCAUGCUGAGGACUCUAGAGAGACUGCCGUCGUAAGAUGUGAGGAAGGUGGGGAUGACGUCAAAUCAGCACGGCCCUUACGUCCGGGGCUACACACGUGUUACAAUGGGGGGUACAGAAGGCAGCUACCUGGUGACAGGAUGCUAAUCCCAAAAGCCUCUCUCAGUUCGGAUCGAAGUCUGCAACCCGACUUCGUGAAGCUGGAUUCGCUAGUAAUCGCGCAUCAGCCAUGGCGCGGUGAAUACGUUCCCGGGCCU
This 1359-nucleotide ribosomal RNA is filed under the name uncultured bacterium. Its description in RNAcentral is "bacterial SSU rRNA". It matches the Rfam family "Bacterial small subunit ribosomal RNA", at positions 28 to 1381 of the family's 1533-position model. The record is from RNAcentral.